Long non-coding RNA from Eriocheir sinensis (Chinese mitten crab), 1599 nucleotides. RefSeq lists it as uncharacterized. The transcript is spliced from 6 exons. The record is from RefSeq and is a predicted model, not a curated record. Lineage: Eukaryota; Metazoa; Arthropoda; Malacostraca; Decapoda; Varunidae.
AGGGAGAGAGAGAGAUAUCCGCAUGAAUGCUCUCCGGAAGUCAAUAAGACUGCAUAAUUUUGGGUGUUGUGUAGGGAGUCACUUUCAUUCAUAAAAUUUCCAUGUGUUCGUGUGCAAUGCCGCGAACUCAUGUAUGCUUAAACCAAGCUAUUUUAUCGCACCGACUAACUUUUUAUGCAGCAUUACAAUAACACAAGCGGAGUCUUUCCUUGCAAUCUGUUUCUGGCCGCUGUUUUGCAUUUUCUCGAGCAGACAGUUUCCUCAAACGUUAAGGCAGCCGCGUCCAGGGCAUUGGGAGGCAGCGAGUCCCUCCCUUCUUACUCCCGCCCUGGCGAGAGUUGUCAGAAUGUCGGAGGGUGAGCUUAGCUUAAUCUUGCUCCCGCUACACCGCAGUGUCUGGGGCUUUCAUGCUUAAUUAAGCUUUGGUGAGCUUCAGGUGAAUGUUAUACACGUAACAGUUGCAAGAGAGUGUAUGAAAGGGCUGCUGCCCGAGGACAGAGGGCGGUGUGUGGGGUGUGUGCCGCUGGACAGUGUGGCAGCCCGUGUGUGUACGUACUAUGAGCCCCGGCGCGAGGCAGAUAUCGGAGGGUGAGUUUGCCUUAUCUUGUCUUUGCGUCAGUGUUUCUGGUGUUUCACGCAGAGAUAAGCUUUGGAGGGCUUUAGGCGAGUGUCAUACACGUGAAACAGUGGCGAGAGAGUGUGCGGAGGCCGCGCCUGAGGGCAGAGAGCAAUGUGUGGACGUGGACGUGUGUGCUGGACAGUGUGGCAGCCCCGGGGUUGGCCGCGGCGCGAGGCACAUCUAAGUAUUUCCCGCCGCCGCCGCAGGAAAGACUUAAGUAUGUCGCGUGUUGACUUGGGAGGGAGGAAGGAAAGACUACCUACGCGAUUCUACCUAUGCAAAUAAGGUUCCUGAAGGCGGAAGAGCUGAGGGGACGACGGGAGGCGACGACGACGACCACCUUCCCGCGGCCCCUGAGGGAGGUACACCGCCGCCCUUAUGAGCACCAAGGGGGGCGGGGGGCCUCUAGUGGGGCGGCGCCUCCCCCAACACCGGCAGCGUCUGUGGCGGAGAGAAGACACGCUUGGGCCUGAGUCGGCGAACCAGCUACUGGGACAGGGCUCAGAAGGACGACAGCGACGCCUCAGAGCGGGGAGUGACGUGGCUUCGUAAAAAAUGAUAGGACAGAUGAAGGAAAGACUGAGAGAGGUUCCUCGUGUGUGGUGACGGCCGCCGGACCUCGCUCCUCUCCCUCCCCGCCCUGCACCUGCACCCUCCCGACCACCACGAAUUAACAGACAGCUCCUGAAGUUUGCCUGACAGCUGGCUAGGCCCACCACCCUGUGUCUGGCGUGUCUCCAUCCAGGCAGUGUGGUGGGGCUGUGACACCUGAUGGGAGCUACACAGUGAUGGACACCUGCAGCAGACCUCAGGACACCACAGAAGCAACAGUGACGACAAGUUAAAGAACUCUCGGCAAUCUAUUAUAUCGAAGGACACAAAAUGAAGUGUUGUAAAUGAGAUGUUGCCCGGGGUUCAUGGGAUGUGGACUGUUUCCUGAAUGUACUGAAGGUUGUUCAAUAAAUAUACUGAAGGGGAGA